This 175-nucleotide ribosomal RNA is filed under the name Neopestalotiopsis protearum. Its description in RNAcentral is "partial 18S ribosomal RNA". It matches the Rfam family "Eukaryotic small subunit ribosomal RNA", at positions 1659 to 1831 of the family's 1831-position model. The record is from RNAcentral. Lineage: Eukaryota; Fungi; Ascomycota; Sordariomycetes; Amphisphaeriales; Sporocadaceae.
UUUGUACACACCGCCCGUCGCUACUACCGAUUGAAUGGCUCAGUGAGGCUUCCGGACUGGCCCAGGGAGGUCGGCAACGACCACCCAGGGCCGGAAAGUUAUCCAAACUCGGUCAUUUAGAGGAAGUAAAAGUCGUAACAAGGUCUCCGUUGGUGAACCAGCGGAGGGAUCAUUA